This 847-nucleotide ribosomal RNA is filed under the name uncultured Acidobacteriota bacterium. Its description in RNAcentral is "bacterial SSU rRNA". It matches the Rfam family "Bacterial small subunit ribosomal RNA", at positions 71 to 896 of the family's 1533-position model. The record is from RNAcentral. Lineage: Bacteria; Pseudomonadati; Acidobacteriota.
AAAACCCCGCAAGGGGUUAGUAGAGUGGCAAACGGGUGAGUAACGCGUGGGUGACCUGCCUUCGAGCGGGGGAUAACGUUCCGAAAGGGACGCUAAUACCGCAUAACAUCCUGCCUUUGAAGAGGUGGAGAUCAAAGCUAGGGAUCGCAAGACCUGGCACUUGAAGAGGGGCCCGCGUCUGAUUAGCUAGUUGGUGAGGUAACGGCUCACCAAGGCUUCGAUCAGUAUCCGGCCUGAGAGGGCGGACGGACACACUGGGACUGAGACACGGCCCAGACUCCUACGGGAGGCAGCAGUGGGGAAUUGUUCGCAAUGGGCGCAAGCCUGACGACGCAACGCCGCGUGGAGGAUGAAGAUUUUCGGAUCGUAAACUCCUGUCGAAUGGGACGAAAAGAUUGCGGGUUAACAGCCCGUAGUCCUGACGGUACCGUUAAAGGAAACCCCGGCUAACUCCGUGCCAGCAGCCGCGGUAAUACGGGGGGGGUAAGCGUUGUUCGGAAUUACUGGGCGUAAAGGGCUCGUAGGCGGCCAACUAAGUCAGACGUGAAAUCCCUCAGCUUAACUGGGGAACUGCGUCUGAUACUGGAUGGCUUGGAUUCGGGAGAGGAAUGCGGAAUUCCAGGUGUAGCGGUGAAAUGCGUAGAUAUCUGGAGGAACACCGGUGGCGAAGGCGGCAUUCUGGACCGACAUUGACGCUGAGGAGCGAAAGCCAGGGGAGCAAACGGGAUUAGAUACCCCGGUAGUCCUGGCCCUAAACGAUGAAUGCUUGGUGUGGCGGGUAUCGAUCCCUGCCGUGCCGAAGCUAACGCAUUAAGCAUUCCGCCUGGGGAGUACGGUCGCAAGGCUG